GAGUGGCAAACGGGUGAGUAACACGUGGGUGACCUGCCUUCGAGUGGGGGAUAACGUCCCGAAAGGGACGCUAAUACCGCAUGACAUCCUGCCUUUGGAAAGGCGGAGAUCAAAGCUGGGGAUCGUAAGACCUAGCGCUUGAAGAGGGGCCCGCGCCUGAUUAGCUAGUUGGUGGGGUAACGGCUCACCAAGGCGACGAUCAGUAUCCGGCCUGAGAGGGCGGACGGACACACUGGGACUGAGACACGGCCCAGACUCCUACGGGAGGCAGCAGUGGGGAAUUGUUCGCAAUGGGCGCAAGCCUGACGACGCAACGCCGCGUGGAGGACGAAGAUCUUCGGGUCGUAAACUCCUGUCGAGCGGGAAGAACACCCACCGGGUGAACAAUCCGGAGGGCUGACGGUACCGCUAAAGGAAGCCCCGGCUAACUCCGUGCCAGCAGCCGCGGUAAUACGGGGGGGGCAAGCGUUGUUCGGAAUUACUGGGCGUAAAGGGCUCGUAGGCGGCCAACUAAGUCCGACGUGAAAUCCCCAAGCUUAACUUGGGAACUGCGUCGGAUACUGGAUGGCUUGAAUUCGGGAGAGGGAUGCAGAAUUCCAGGUGUAGCGGUGAAAUGCGUAGAUAUCUGGAGGAAUACCGGUGGCGAAGGCGGCAUCCUGGACCGACAU
Molecule: ribosomal RNA, 668 nt
Filed under: uncultured bacterium
Lineage: Bacteria
Description: bacterial SSU rRNA
Rfam family: Bacterial small subunit ribosomal RNA
Source: RNAcentral